This 1167-nucleotide long non-coding RNA is filed under the name Homo sapiens (human). Its description in RNAcentral is "HSALNT0167731". Lineage: Eukaryota; Metazoa; Chordata; Mammalia; Primates; Hominidae. The record is from RNAcentral.
GCCUCGUAAAGAAAGUUCCUGCUGCUUCUUCUGCUAUGAUUGUAAAUUUCCUGAGGCCUCUCCAGCCACGCAGAACUAUGGUGUCAGAAUUGGAACAUGAAGUAGAACUUCCAGUAACCCCUAGGAGCAUCAAGUGACCCAGAGAGGUAACCCCCUCCACCAGGGUCCAUUGCAUCCAUUGCUCUCUCACAGCAACUGAGGCUCAUGGUGGUAACUUUGUGAGACAAGCCUCAAAUUUUACCACUGUACCAAGAAAUGAAAGCCAGAAUGUGGAAUUGGAGCUGGUAAUGACGACGUCAGGACAGGUUCAAAGGAAGCCCAUCACUUGAGUAAAAAUUUAUAGCCCUGCUUGUGCUGUGCUGUGCUGUGCUGUGAGUUUCAGUUCCGGGCCAGCAAAAGAUUUAUCAAAGGAAAGCAACAAGGUGUGUGGAAAUAGAAGGUAAGAAAAAUUAAUUUCAGAGAGGAAAAUAAAGUUGCUUGAGGGGCUCUUCAAUGACCAAAGGCCAUAAGAGACUGGAAGGCAAAAGGACCCAUUAAUGUAAUCCAAACAUCAGUCUCCUGCAGCAAAGAGGUGAAUGGAGAAGGGUGGAGAGUAGCUGUGGACGAGUGAAAAAGACAUCGCACCAUGUCUUCAAAUUACAUCCAGCAACUUCAUAUGAACUAUGAAACCCUUGUUGCCACAAUAGUCCCUCUUUGUUUGAACUACUACAAGAAUAAAGAAAUUUCUUUCUAAUCUUUUGCAGAAGAAUUACAUAGACUCUCACUUACUGCUCUUGUUUCAUAGGUGGCUGAUUUUCCAAUUAUAUUAAAUACUUUUGGAAGGGCUGGGACUACAUCUAAUUUCUUGAAAAGUCUGGUGCUGUGGAAGACCAAGACCCAGACUGUUGAGGUCAGCCUAAUGUAAUGUGAAAUAUCUAAACUCUGCGUACUUCUUUACCAUGAGUGUAUAGAUAAAAUAUCAUUGCAUUUAAGGAAAUUGCUUAAAGCCUCACAGUGAAUAAAGUUGACAAAACAUGUAGACUUAUUGCAGAUUUUAUGCAUUUAGGUUUUAUGGCUUCAUUUGCAAUCAGGACUCCCCUCCCCUCCCUUCCUCCCUUCCUUCCCUUCCCUUCCCUGUCCUUCUUUCUUUCCUUUCCUUCCCCUUCCUUCCUUCUCCUCGUCCUGUUU